Schistocerca americana (American grasshopper) is the source of this 606-nucleotide long non-coding RNA. RefSeq lists it as uncharacterized. The record is from RefSeq and is a predicted model, not a curated record. The transcript has 3 exons. NCBI's taxonomy places the organism in Eukaryota, Metazoa, Arthropoda, Insecta, Orthoptera, Acrididae.
AUUUUAUGCAUUCGCUAUGUAGAUAAACGUGAGUUAAGCAGUCAGAUCAUCUCUUAUAAAGAAAAUAAGUCCCAUGUCACAUCGUAAAUAGCGAAAACAGACUGGAGGAAGCAAUAAUAGUGAAACACAGUAUAAAUAACGCGAGUUUCGAUCUGUAAUGGAAGAGAAAAAGAAGCCGUUGGUUUUGUUUUUCAAAUGGCAGGUUGUAAGAAAAUGUGUGGUAUUACAAAUUUACCAACAAAAGUGCACCUCGUUAGCAUAAUGUAAAGUAUGCACAGAACUGUGUAAAAAAACUAUUAUCGAAACCUGUAUUCUAUGCCUAAUAUUCGUCACAACAUAACCAUUUAAUGCGUAAUGUAUCGGACUGGAAAAAACAAAUGUCUCACUCGAUGAACGCACAGAAAGAGAAGCAAUUUGGGAAAAAUCAAACAGCGUCUUGCAUAAGGCGGCAUUUUUGUCAUCAUUCGCGGAAAGAAGUAGAGCAACACAAAAAGGUACUGGGAUUGUCUUCUUCUGAUACUUCGAGUAGAGAAUUCAGAACAGGUUUUUUGAAUCUCUCUUUCAUUUUUAGAUGGUUAGAUCACAUAACUAAUGAGGAGGUAUUGA